RNAcentral lists this long non-coding RNA (997 nucleotides) under Salmo trutta (river trout). RNAcentral's name for it is "lncRNA (ENSSTUG00000043570.1)". The record is from RNAcentral. Lineage: Eukaryota; Metazoa; Chordata; Actinopteri; Salmoniformes; Salmonidae.
GGAGAAGGACAAGAUCAUUGAACAUCUACAGUCUGAGACAGACCAUCUCAGAGCCCUUUUAAAAGACGAAAGGAGGAGAAGAAGAGUAGAAAGGGGUAUAAUGAAAGAGUGGAAGGCUGAGAUCCUGAGGGAGCCAGAGAGCCAGAGGGAGCCAGAGAGCCAAAGAAUGGGAGGAGAACCAGAGAAAAAUGCAGGAAAUCAACAGACUCAAACAACUGCAGGAGCUGCUGAUGGUGGACCUACAACUGGCCCACCUUCAAUCAGAGAGAGAAGAUAAUAGAAGCAAACAAAAGAGAUGAGAUGGCGGAAGAGGAAAGAAGGGAGAUCCUUGAGAAGUACAAGAGGGGUGAGAUAGAGAACACUGAAGAGGAGGAGGAAGAUGACAAGGAGGACCUUGUCCCACCCUAUAAAAACAGCCGAAGGAGAGCUGUGGGCUGGGUGAAUAAGAAGUGGGAGAAGAGGAACCUCAAAAAGAUAGAGAGAACUUAUCAGAGAGAGGCUGAGGAGGGCUAUAAGAUCGUCCAUAUAGUCAUCCCUGUACACAAAGGGCUAACAUCUAUCAUCACCUGGGCAGAGAGAGAGAGGGAGAAGAGGAAGGAGCUCCUGGAGGCUGAGGAGAAAAGGAAGAAGAUGAGGGAUUACAGUGGAGAGAGCAGUCCCUGCCUAAAAAAAUGGACUCAUCAGAAACUGAAGGAGGAGAGGGAGAGGAUGAAAGAGCAGUACCUAAAAGACAAGCAGGAGAAAUGGCUGGAGCAGAUGAAUCUGGAGGCUGAUGAGCAAAUCCAUAAGUUCAGCACCCAGUACAUCACCCGGUGUCCAACCACCCAACACAGCCACGACUACAACCAAGGUCAGGAAUUGCCGGGGUGAGACAUAGGCCAACAGGUAAGCCAAGAGCCCGUUGGAUCUGGAGAUGGCCAGCAGGAGUGGUCAAGGAGGCCACAGGCAGAGAACCAGCAGGGGGGGGGGCAGAGAGCCAGCAGGUAGAGGCUCCAGA